ACGAACGCUGGCGGCAGGCUUAACACAUGCAAGUCGAACGCCCCGCAAGGGGAGUGGCAGACGGGUGAGUAACGCGUGGGAACAUACCCUUUUCUACGGAAUAGCUCUGGGAAACUGGAAUUAAUACCGUAUACGCCCUACGGGGGAAAAAUUUAUCGGGGAAGGAUUGGCCCGCGUUGGAUUAGCUAGUUGGUGGGGUAAAGGCCUACCAAGGCGACGAUCCAUAGCUGGUCUGAGAGGAUGAUCAGCCACAUUGGGACUGAGACACGGCCCAAACUCCUACGGGAGGCAGCAGUGGGGAAUAUUGGACAAUGGGCGCAAGCCUGAUCCAGCCAUGCCGCGUGAGUGAUGAAGGCCUUAGGGUUGUAAAGCUCUUUCACCGAUGAAGAUAAUGACGGUAGUCGGAGAAGAAGCCCCGGCUAACUUCGUG
RNAcentral lists this ribosomal RNA (430 nucleotides) under uncultured bacterium. RNAcentral describes it as "partial 16S ribosomal RNA". It matches the Rfam family "Bacterial small subunit ribosomal RNA", at positions 29 to 507 of the family's 1533-position model. The record is from RNAcentral.